RNAcentral lists this ribosomal RNA (3646 nucleotides) under Patescibacteria group bacterium. RNAcentral describes it as "23S ribosomal RNA". It matches the Rfam family "Bacterial large subunit ribosomal RNA". The record is from RNAcentral.
UGUGAUUUCAAUUUAAGGGCAAAUGGUGGAUGCCUUGGGACCAAACGCGAUGAAGGACGUGGCGUAGCUGCGAUAAGCUUCGGGGAGGUGUUAGCAACCUUUGAUCCGGAGAUCUCCGAAUUGGAAAACCUAAUCUUGCAAAACAAGAUUAUCGUAAUUGAAGCGAACCCGCUGAAGUAAAACAUUCUAGUAGGCGGAGGAAAAUAGAACAACAGUCAUUCCCUUAGUAGCGGCGAGCGAAGGGGGAGGAGCCUAAACUUGUUUGUGCUUUGCAUAAAUAAGGGUUGUAGGGAAAUAGCUUCUAUUUAAUUAGAGGAAGUUAAAAAUAAUUUAGUUAACUGAAUCUCUCUGGAAAGAGGAACCAUAGACGGUGAAAGUCCGGUAAGUGAAAAUUAAAUUAUGCUUCUUGCUGUUUUUCCUGAGUAGCAUCGAAUCAAGAAGAGUCGAUGUGAAUCUGGCGGGACUACCCGCUAAGGCUAAAUAUAAUUUGGUCACCGAUAGUGAACAAGUACCGUGAGGGAAAGGUGAAAAGCAGCCCGGUGAGGGCGGUGAAAUAGAACCUGAAACCAUUAUGCCCACAAAGAGUCAGAGCUGAAUUUAUUCAGUGAUGGCGUGCUUUUUGCAGAACGAGCCAACGAGUUUCUUUUACUAAUUUGUCUAAGCGCUUAUGGCGUGGAGGCACAGGGAAACCGAGUCUUAAAAGGGCGAAAUAUAAUUAGUGGAGGAAGACCCGAAGCCAGACGAGCUUACCAUGACCAGGAUGAAGCUUUCAGAAAUGAAAGUGGAGGUCCGAACCCGUUGACCGUACAAUAUCUUGGGAUGAGUUGUGGUAAGGAGUGAAAAGCUAAUCGAGUUUGGUAAUAGCUGGUUCUUCCCGAAAUAGUUUUAGGACUAGCCUCUUUGAUAUUUAUCUUCGGAGGUAGAGCACUGGAAGAAAUACCGUGGCUUCGGCUAGGUAUUUUUACCAAACUCCGAAUGCCGAAGAUAUUACAGAGGGAGUCAGACUGUGGGGGCGAAGCUCCAUAGUCGCGAGGGGAACAACCCAGACCAUCAUCUAAGGUCCCUAAAUUUAAACUAAGUGUUAGUAAGGAGGUGAUAUUUCUCAGAUAGCUAGGAGGUUAGCUUAGAAGCAGCUACCCUUUAAAAAGUGCGUAACAGCUUACUAGCUAAGAGAUUUUGCGCCGAAGAUUAACGGGACUAAAGUUUAAUACCGAAGAUAUGGCUUAAAUACAUUUUGUAUUUAGGGGUAGGGAAGCGUCUUUAUUGCAUUGAAGCUAAAUCGUAAGGUUUAGUGGAGCGAUAAGGAGUGAGAAUGUUGGCAUGAGUAACCACAAUUGCAGUGAGAGUCUGCAACACCGUAAACCCAAGGUUUCCUUGGCAAUGGAGAUCAUCCAAGGGUUAGGCGGGCCUUAGGAGAAGCCGAAAGGCGUAUCUGAUGGACAGCCGGUUAAUAUUCCGGCCCUCCAAUAUUUUUCCGUAGGGUGACGCAAUUUAGUAGUUUGGGCAGGUUAUUGGAUUCCUGUCGAAUAUUUAAGGGGUAACCCAAGAAUAGGCGCGAAGCUUGUAGCAAUACAAGUGAAGUCAAAUGAGCAAGUUGUCCAGAAAAACCCGCAGGGUUAAGGAUAUUGGACCCGUACCAGAAACCGACACAGGUGGGUAGGCACAAGUGUGCCAAGGUGAACAAGUGAAAGGUCCUGAAGGAACUAGGCAAAAAAGUGAUCGUAACUUCGGGAUAAGAUCUUCCUUUUGAGUUCAUUGUUUUUACAAUGGGCAUAAAAAGGACGCAGCGAGCGUAUCUCUAGCGACUGUUUAUCAAAAACACAGGUCCCUGCUGAACUCGUAAGAGGAUGUAUAGGGGCUGAGGCCUGACCAGUGCCAGAGUGUUAAAAGUGGUUGUCAUUUCAGCAAUGGGAUGGCUGUCCGCUCCAAGCCUCUGGUGAACGUCCGCGGUAACUCUGACCGUGUUAAAGUAGCGUAAUCCCUUGUCGGGUAAGUUCCGACCCGCAUGAAAGGCUUAACGACUAGAGAACUGUCUCCAGGACUUGCUUGGUGAAAUCGCAAUGGGGGUGAGAAUGCCCCCUACUUGUAGCUAGACAAGAAGACCCCGGGAGCUUUACUAUACCCUGGCAUUGAGUUUUGAUGUUAAAUGCGUAGCAUAGGUGGGAGACUUUGAAGUUGUUCUUUCGGGAACAAUGGAGUCGUCAGUGAAAUACCACUCUUUUAAUGUUAAAAUUCUAACUUUGCUUGUUGCGAAGACAAGCGGAAGACAGUGCUUGGUUGGUAGUUUAAGUGGGGCGCUUUUCUCCCAAAAGGUAACGGAGAAGUUUAAAGGUCAGCUAGCUCCGGAUGGAAAUCGGAGUGGUCCUGUAAAGGGAAAAGCUGGCUUAACUGCAAGACGGAUAUGUCGCGCAGAUGGGAAACCAGAACUUAGUGAACCGACCAUGGUUCGUAGGACCGUGGAAGAUCAUCAGACAAAAGUUACCCCGGGGAUAACAGGCUGGUAGUGCCCGAGAGUCCACAUCAACGGCACUGUUCGGCACCUCGAUGUCGGCUCAUCACAUCCUGGGGCUGUAGAAGGUCCCAAGGGUUUGGCUGUUCGCCAAUUAAAGUGGUUCGUGAGCUGGGUUCAAACCGUCAAAUAUGGCGGCAUUCCUGAGUAAUCGGGAUUGCAAAAUCGACUCAUAUCGGUGAAGUCCUAUCUUGUAACUUAACCUGUCACAUGAUAGGAUAAUACCGAGGGAAGUUGUAAGUUUUAUUUAUGAAGAAAAUAACCAAUUCUCAAAAAGCGUAUAUUGCUGGAUUUUUAGAUGGUGAUGGUAGCGUAUAUGUCAAGUUAACCAAAAAUGAUAGUUAUAAAUAUGGCUAUCAAAUUGCUCCAUAUAUUACUUUUUAUCAAAAAGGAAAUUAUAUUAAUUUUCUAGAAGAAUUAAAAAGUAUCUUAGGGGUAGGUUAUACAAGACUAAGAAAAGAUGGAGUAGCAGAAUAUAUAAUUGGAGAUGAAAAAUCUUUAAUCAUAUUUGCGAAAGAAAUCUUACCUUUCAGCAAGCUAAAAUCUAAGCAAUUAAAGUUACUUUUAAAAAUUUUAAAAUUAAAAGUUAAAAUAAAAAAUGCUAAAAACUUUAUUGAUCUUUGUAAAAAGAUUGAUACAUUUAGAGAAUUGAAUUAUUCUAAGAAAAGGAUUCAAGAUUCCUUAGAGGUUAAAAAGAAUCUCAUAAAGAAAAAUUUAUUAACCCCGUAGAGACUGAGCCUUCGGGCGAGAGUCAUUGUUUUAAACACAAUGGCUAAUAUGUCGAUCCCCUAUAUUAUAUAUAGGGUGGUGGUAUAGUCCAUGCACUUGGUAACAAGUGAACAAACAUGCGUGAGACAGGUUGGUCUAUAUCUACUACAAGCGUUGAGUUUUGAGGAGAGUUGCCCUUUGUACGAGAGGAUCAGGGUGAACUAACCUCUGGUGUAUCAGUUGUCACGCCAGUGGCAUUGCUGAGUAGCUAUGUUAGGAAGGGAUAAGAGCUGAAAGCAUCUAAGCUCGAAGCCCACUCCAAGAUUAGAACUCUUUUCCAGGUUAAAGACUAUGACCUUGAUAGGGCGCAGGUGUAAGCUUCGUGAGGAGUUGAGCCGAGCGCUACUAAUUGGAUUUAAAAAUCUCUUU